Non-coding RNA from Dipodomys ordii (Ord's kangaroo rat), 65 nucleotides. Lineage: Eukaryota; Metazoa; Chordata; Mammalia; Rodentia; Heteromyidae. The record is from Rfam.
GGUGGCUCAGUGGUAGAGUGCUUGCCUUGCAUGCAUGAGGCCCUGGGCUAGAUUCCUCAGCACCA